AUUGAACGCUGGCGGAAUGCUUUACACAUGCAAGUCGAACGGCAGCACGGGGCAACCUGGUGGCGAGUGGCGAACGGGUGAGUAAUAUAAUCGGAACGUGCCCAAUCGUGGGGGAUAACGUAGCGAAAGUUACGCUAAUACCGCAUACGAUCUACGGAUGAAAGCGGGGGAUCGCAAGACCUCGCGCGAAUGGAGCGGCCGAUAUCAGAUUAGGUAGUUGGUGGGGUAAAGGCUCACCAAGCCAACGAUCUGUAGCUGGUCUGAGAGGACGACCAGCCACACUGGAACUGAGACACGGUCCAGACUCCUACGGGAGGCAGCAGUGGGGAAUUUUGGACAAUGGGCGCAAGCCUGAUCCAGCCAUUCCGCGUGCAGGAUGAAGGCCUUCGGGUUGUAAACUGCUUUUGUACGGAACGAAACGGUCUGCCCUAAUACGGCAGGCUAAUGACGGUACCGUAAGAAUAAGCACCGGCUAACUACGUG
RNAcentral lists this ribosomal RNA (483 nucleotides) under uncultured bacterium. RNAcentral describes it as "bacterial SSU rRNA". It matches the Rfam family "Bacterial small subunit ribosomal RNA", at positions 30 to 507 of the family's 1533-position model. The record is from RNAcentral.